UAGCAGCACAUAAUGGUUU
Molecule: non-coding RNA, 19 nt
Filed under: Xenopus tropicalis (tropical clawed frog)
Lineage: Eukaryota; Metazoa; Chordata; Amphibia; Anura; Pipidae
Also listed under: 2 other names
Source: RNAcentral